This 102-nucleotide microRNA precursor is filed under the name Marmota monax (woodchuck). Lineage: Eukaryota; Metazoa; Chordata; Mammalia; Rodentia; Sciuridae. The record is from RNAcentral.
AGUGGAAUUGCUGGGUCAUAUGGAGAGUGUAUGUUUUACUUAUUAAGUAAGUGCCAAAAUGGUUUCCAUAAUUCCUGCAUCGUUUACAUUCCCACCAGCAAU